Molecule: long non-coding RNA, 226 nt
Filed under: Salvia miltiorrhiza (redroot sage)
Lineage: Eukaryota; Viridiplantae; Streptophyta; Magnoliopsida; Lamiales; Lamiaceae
Description: long non-coding RNA (SMIL_LNC013348)
Source: RNAcentral
UUUUAUUUCAUUAUUUGCUAUUUGGAACUUUGUUAUGAUGAAUUAGUAGUGUUUUACUUAUAUUCUUGGUGAAUUAUGAAUUUAUAAUAUAUAUAAAAUAUAUUUUAAAUAAAAAAAUUAAAACGUAUUUUUGACGUAUCGUAUCUUGAUUUUUGGAAAAAUGACGUAUUUACGUCCCCGUACCGUAUCGUAUCCGUAUUACGUAUCCGUCCCCAUGCUUCUUAGC